CCUACGGGAGGCAGCAGUGAGGAAUAUUGGUCAAUGGGCGAGAGCCUGAACCAGCCAAGUCGCGUGAAGGAUGACGGCCCUACGGGUUGUAAACUUCUUUUGUCAGGGAGCAAAGGGGGCCACGCGUGGGCUUAGCGAGAGUACCUGAAGAAAAAGCAGCGGCGAACUCCGUGCCAGCAGCCGCGGUAAUACGGAGGAUGCGAGCGUUAUCCGGAUUUAUUGGGUUGAAAGGGUGCGUCGGCGGAAUAUCAAGUCAGCGGUAAAAAUUCGGGGCUCAACCCCGUCGUGCCGUGGAAACGGUUGUUCUUGCGUGGGCGAGAAGUAUGCGGCCUGCGUGGUGUAGCGG
RNAcentral lists this ribosomal RNA (346 nucleotides) under uncultured bacterium. RNAcentral describes it as "partial 16S ribosomal RNA". It matches the Rfam family "Bacterial small subunit ribosomal RNA", at positions 338 to 681 of the family's 1533-position model. The record is from RNAcentral.